GGAAGUAAAAGCGUAACAAGGUCUCCGUUGGUGAACCAGCGGAGGGAUCAUUAUCGAGUUUAUAACUCCCAAACCCUAUGUGAACUUACCACUUGUUGCUUCGGCGCGCGCUUCGGCGCCGCCGAGGACACUUAAACUCUUUGUUUUUAUAAGCAUUUCUGAGUGGCCGAAAGGCAAAAUACAAAUGAAUCAAAACUUUCAACAACGGAUCUCUUGGUUCUG
Molecule: unclassified non-coding RNA, 222 nt
Filed under: plant metagenome
Description: partial contains small subunit ribosomal RNA, internal transcribed spacer 1, and 5.8S ribosomal RNA
Rfam family: Eukaryotic small subunit ribosomal RNA (bases 1-53)
Source: RNAcentral